GUAAAUAUAGUUUAUAAUAAAACCCCAGACUGUGAAUCUGGAAAUAGGGAAUAAAACCCCUUACUUACC
RNAcentral lists this transfer RNA (69 nucleotides) under Peromyscus maniculatus (North American deer mouse). Its description in RNAcentral is "tRNA-His". It matches the Rfam family "tRNA". From Rfam's summary of the family: Transfer RNA (tRNA) molecules are approximately 80 nucleotides in length. Lineage: Eukaryota; Metazoa; Chordata; Mammalia; Rodentia; Cricetidae. The record is from RNAcentral. RNAcentral also lists the same sequence under 1 other name.